Molecule: long non-coding RNA, 877 nt
Organism: Triticum aestivum (bread wheat)
Lineage: Eukaryota; Viridiplantae; Streptophyta; Magnoliopsida; Poales; Poaceae
Exons: 2
Source: RefSeq, a predicted model, not a curated record
UUGGAUUUGCUUUUUAUCUAUGCAUUGUGCUACUCUAAUCCCACCAGUGCACCGCCCUACCUACAAUCAUAUCCAAACGGGAGUCUUCACAACCACUUGUUUCUUAUCCCUUCUACAUAACUCCCCCCGAACCCAAUCCAGUUCUUUAUCUCUCCCGUCUUCGGUGAGCAAGCUAGCCGCUGCUGGAAGAGGGAGGCCACUUCUGCAUGCAAGAGCUUGCUAUGGCUAGUGAUGCAUGCCAACCUCUGCGAGGUACACCCCCGCAAGAUCCGUGUUCGGCGUCGCCUGCGUUCCAUGUCGCUACCGUCCUGGAGGAGCUCCAACGUCCAUGGCUGCUGCCUCCUCGAGCUCAACAGCAACAUUUCUUGCAACAUGAUUUUUGUUGCAGGAAUACAGGAGAAGAGGUCCUUGAUGCUGUAAUUUUUGAAACAAGGAAUACAACAAAGGAAACAAGGAUUACAUGCCCCCGCCCGCCGGCGGCAGCUGUUUUUUUGUGGUGGUUGGGGGCGGCGCAGCGUUGGGCGCAGCUCUGUCGAGGACGGUGGACAUGGAAGUCUGUUUCUGAAAAGAGCCGUUGUUGUGAGAAUUAAAGAGGGGUCAACCGGCGCGAGGUGGUUACAUCGAACGGCUAUUAGCGCUCCGAUUCAACGGUUGUCCAACCGGCGGAUCAUUAUAACGCGUACGCCGACCGACGCAUAGCGCCGUCCUUUUAUUUUAGCCACAAUUGACUUUGCAAAAAAUAUGCCAAUGGACAAAACAAUUCCAAUGAAUUAAAGUGCACUGCCACAAAAUAUUGUGAGACCUUUUUGAAAAAGUUUGUCAAUUUUAUAAAAUAAAAAAGGCAUUUAAUAUAUUGCUUGGGUCACUGUUUUAAGCA